This 395-nucleotide long non-coding RNA is filed under the name Trifolium pratense (red clover). Its description in RNAcentral is "long non-coding RNA (TPRA_LNC013328)". The record is from RNAcentral. Lineage: Eukaryota; Viridiplantae; Streptophyta; Magnoliopsida; Fabales; Fabaceae.
UGCUAUCUGAAGUUGACAUCAUGCUUCUUUCAUCAGUUGUGCGUUGUUGUUUCUUCUCUACACGAUCAUUUGUUACAACUUUGAAAAACAAACUGUAUUCUAUGUCUUUUUGGCUAGUGUUUUCGGGACUAGUAGUUUAUUGGAAAUUUAGUUUGUUCAUUUGCAUAACCUUUGCUAAAAAAAUGAUAUUAGGCGCCAAGUUUUGCCUUUUGCUUAUUAACAUAUUGUGAUAUCAUAUGGGUGUUGCAUCUGAUUUUACCAUUUUCCUUCUUUACAUGUAUAAUAAUUGCCAUUUUUGCUAGCAUAUUAUUUGUUUUUUUUUAAUCAUAGUUUGAUAGUAUAUUGUAUAUAUCCCAAACAAAGUUGAUGUUUGGCUAAAUUGCACUUUUUUCCUC